AGCAUCGGAACGUACCCAGUAGUGGGGGAUAGCCCGGCGAAAGCCGGAUUAAUACCGCAUACGACCUGAGGGUGAAAGCGGGGGGACCGCAAGGCCUCGCGCUAUUGGAGCGGCCGAUGUCAGAUUAGGUAGUUGGUGGGGUAAAGGCCUACCAAGCCUGCGAUCUGUAGCUGGUCUGAGAGGGCGACCAGCCACACUGGGACUGAGACACGGCCCAG
This 218-nucleotide ribosomal RNA is filed under the name uncultured bacterium. RNAcentral describes it as "partial 16S ribosomal RNA". It matches the Rfam family "Bacterial small subunit ribosomal RNA", at positions 114 to 334 of the family's 1533-position model. The record is from RNAcentral.